GUAGGAUUUCGGUGUGUCGAUGGCUUUGUUUGAGUCUUUGGUUAAGAUAAGAAGUUGUCGCCUAAUGUUUUUCUCCCAACCUGUUCUUUUCGUUGUAUUUUGCGAACUGAACUUUUUAAGGAACGGCUAUCUGGUG
Thiovulum sp. ES is the source of this 136-nucleotide regulatory RNA element. It matches the Rfam family "purD RNA motif". The record is from Rfam. Lineage: Bacteria; Pseudomonadati; Campylobacterota; Epsilonproteobacteria; Campylobacterales; Sulfurimonadaceae.